AUGAUGGCAGAAUUUGAUCCUGUAAUGCAAGAGCAUCUUCGGCGCAUUAAGAAUAGUGAAAUCCAUCAUCAUUAUCUUGGCCAUAAUAUUCAGAAUGAGUUAAUUUCCCUUCUUGGUCGCACUGUUAAAUAUUCUCUAUUGAGGAUAAUUAAGGAUGCAAGGUAUUUCUCUGUCAUCUUGGACUGUACACCUGACGUGAGCCAUCAAGAACAAAUGACUCUAAUUGUGAGAUGCGUAAACAUGUCAAGUACUACUACAAAAAUAGAGGAGUUUUUUCUGGAGUUCUUGAAGGUGGAUGAUACAUCCGGACUUGGACUUUAUAAUGUGUUAAUAGAUUCACUUAAAUCUGUUGGUUCGGAUGUUAAAGAUGUUCGUGGACAAGGGUAUGACAAUGGUUCGAACAUGAAGGGAAAACACUAA
This 420-nucleotide ribosomal RNA is filed under the name Triticum aestivum (bread wheat). Its description in RNAcentral is "partial small subunit ribosomal RNA". Lineage: Eukaryota; Viridiplantae; Streptophyta; Magnoliopsida; Poales; Poaceae. The record is from RNAcentral.